RNAcentral lists this unclassified non-coding RNA (264 nucleotides) under Hevea brasiliensis (rubber tree). Lineage: Eukaryota; Viridiplantae; Streptophyta; Magnoliopsida; Malpighiales; Euphorbiaceae. The record is from RNAcentral.
ACAAAGAUUCCUGGGUAGAGAAGGUACUUUCUGCUCAUAACUAUUUGUUAAUUAUAAUGUUUCAUUUUGUUGUGGAGUCUUUUUGCGAUCAUUUCCUUUUUCUCAUUCUUUCCUUGUCGCUGGGCCUGGCUCGGAUGGAUGGAUGAUUUGGGUGCUCUUGAUAUGUUAUUGUUUCAUUUGUGCUGAAAGAAGGGUCUCCAAAUCAUUUUCCUCCUUAAAUCCAGUAGGUUUUUCCUUUUAAAAUUACAUAUCCAAUUAGUUUGU